CCCUGGUUAUCUACUUGAAGUCUGUCUCAUUCCGCAGCUUCACACAUUCAAAGGAGCACUACCACUUCUACGAGAUAUCAUCUUUCUCUGAAACCAAGGCCAAGCGCCUCAUCAAGGAGGCUGGUCAGGACCAAAAUGGAGGGAUGGGGAGGGAAGUGGGAUGGAUAGGUUCAGGCCUGAUGGACUGGCAGGCAAUGAGUUUGUGCAGCACAAUACUUGGCAGUUAAGCCGUGUGUAUCCCAGCGGCCUGAGGACAGACUCUUCCAACUACAACCCCCAGGAACUCUGGAAUGCAGGCUGCCAGAUGGUGGCCAUGAAUAUGCAGACUGCAGGGCUUGAAAUGGACAUCUGUGAUGGGCAUUUCCGCCAGAAUGGUGGCUGUGGCUAUGUGCUGAAGCCAGACUUCCUGCGUGAUAUCCAGAGUUCCUUCCACCCUGAGAGGCCCAUCAGCCCUUUCAAAGCCCAGACUCUCUUAAUCCAGGUGAUCAGCGGUCAGCAACUCCCCAAAGUGGACAAGACCAAAGAGGGGUCCAUUGUGGAUCCACUGGUGAAAGUGCAGAUCUUUGGUGUCCGUCUAGACACAGCACGGCAGGAGACCAACUAUGUGGAGAACAAUGGUUUUAAUCCAUACUGGGGGGAGACACUAUGUUUCCGGGUGCUGGUGCCUGAACUUGCCAUGCUGCGUUUUGUGGUAAUGGAUUAUGACUGGAAAUCCCGAAAUGACUUUAUUGGUCAGUACACCCUGCCUUGGACCUGCAUGCAA
Molecule: small RNA, 763 nt
Filed under: Pongo abelii (Sumatran orangutan)
Lineage: Eukaryota; Metazoa; Chordata; Mammalia; Primates; Hominidae
Description: retained intron
Source: RNAcentral